This is a long non-coding RNA of Cyprinus carpio carpio, 639 nucleotides long. The record is from Ensembl. Lineage: Eukaryota; Metazoa; Chordata; Actinopteri; Cypriniformes; Cyprinidae.
AUGGGCUACAACAGUUUUCUUCAUCAAGACAUGCAGUAGAAUCAACAGUCUUCACCGAAGGUUGUACCAGCAGAAAGGUAAAAACAGGCACACACAGUUCACCAUUUCACAAGUGCAAAGUGACGGCUCUGUGUUACUGCUAGCUUUGGAGUUAGCGAGCAGGUUGACAGUUGCAGGAUUUGUGUCCCACACUGAGCUCAACCUAUUCGUCCUCAUUUCCCUUGACAGGUCAAUCCAGAACUGGAUUCAGCUGGAAGUGUUUGCUCUCAUGAAGAAAUAUGGUGAGGAUUGAUGGGAUACCAGAGAGCGAUCCAUCAUCUCAGGCAGGAGGCGCUGUAUCGGAAUUUGGGAAAUCUGUUCCCAAUCACACCUACAGGCUGGCGGCCAUGUAAGAAACCCCCACCUCCUCAUCCAGCAUGCACCGUCCUCCCCUCAUCUGUGUGUCAGAACCGGAAAUCAAUGCGAGCCACUCAAGGUCAAUACUCUGUUGGUGAGCUCCCUACAAGCUUUGAUGGAAACAUCCCGCUCAAAGAGAGUCGACGCGAGGGGGAAUUGACAGUUGUUUCGUCCGAGCUGUUAAAGGGACAGUGAGUCUCAGAUGCUUGUCAUAGUGUCUGUCUGCUGUCAUUUACACAUUUU